This 414-nucleotide ribosomal RNA is filed under the name uncultured bacterium. RNAcentral's name for it is "bacterial SSU rRNA". It matches the Rfam family "Bacterial small subunit ribosomal RNA", at positions 64 to 507 of the family's 1533-position model. The record is from RNAcentral.
GAACGCGGCAUUGGGCAACCAGUGCCGAGUGGCGGACGGGUGAGGAACACGUGGGUUAUCUACCAAGAGGUGAGGAAUACCGGCGAGAAAUCGCCGACAAUACCGCAUAGGUUUGGAAACAAACAAAGUUGAGCAAUCAACGCCCUUUGAUGAGCCUGCGUCCGAUUAGCUAGUUGGUGGGGUAAUGGCCCACCAAGGCGACGAUCGGUAGCUGGUCUGAGAGGAUGAUCAGCCUCACUGGGACUGAGACACGGCCCAGACUCCUACGAGAGGCAGCAGUGGGGAAUAUUGGACAAUGGGCGAAAGCCUGACGCAGCCAUGCCGCGUGAAUGAUGAAGGUCUUAGGAUUGUAAAAUUCUUUCAGCGGGGAAGAUAAUGACGGUACCCGCAGAAGAAGCUCCGGCUAACUUCGUG